GACGAACGCUGGCGGCGUGCCUAAUACAUGCAAGUCGAACGCACAGUUUAUACCGUAGCUUGCUACACCAUAGACUGUGAGUUGCGAACGGGUGAGUAACGCGUAGGUAACCUGCCUGGUAGCGGGGGAUAACUAUUGGAAACGAUAGCUAAUACCGCAUAAUAUUAAUUAUUGCAUGAUAAUUAAUUGAAAGGUGCAAUUGCACCACUACCAGAUGGACCUGCGUUGUAUUAGCUAGUAGGUGAGGUAACGGCUCACCUAGGCGACGAUACAUAGCCGACCUGCGUGGGUGGUCGGCCGCCCUGGGACUGAGACCCGGCCCAGUCUCCUACGGGAGGCAGCAGUAGUGAAUCUUCGGCAAUGGACGAAAGUCUGACCGAGCAACGCCGCGUGAGUGAAGAAGGUUUUCGGAUCGUAAAGCUCUGUUGUAAGAGAAGAACGGGUGUGAGAGUGGAAAGUUCACACUGUGACGGUAUCUUACCAGAAAGGGACGGCUAACUACGUG
RNAcentral lists this ribosomal RNA (505 nucleotides) under uncultured bacterium. Its description in RNAcentral is "partial 16S ribosomal RNA". It matches the Rfam family "Bacterial small subunit ribosomal RNA", at positions 28 to 507 of the family's 1533-position model. The record is from RNAcentral.